This 120-nucleotide ribosomal RNA is filed under the name uncultured bacterium. RNAcentral's name for it is "partial 16S ribosomal RNA". It matches the Rfam family "Bacterial small subunit ribosomal RNA", at positions 215 to 334 of the family's 1533-position model. The record is from RNAcentral.
GCGCUAUUGGAGCGGCCGAUGGCAGAUUAGCUUGUUGGUGGGGUAAGAGCCUACCAAGGCAACGAUCUGUAGCUGGUCUGAGAGGACGACCAGCCACACUGGGACUGAGACACGGCCCAG